This is a long non-coding RNA of Siniperca chuatsi (mandarin fish), 766 nucleotides long. RefSeq lists it as uncharacterized. The record is from RefSeq and is a predicted model, not a curated record. NCBI's taxonomy places the organism in Eukaryota, Metazoa, Chordata, Actinopteri, Centrarchiformes, Sinipercidae. The transcript has 2 exons.
UAUAAACAAACUGAUGGCUUCUAUCCAACAACAGUACAGUUGUAGUGGAAAAAAACACAUGUAUAACUUACAUUUAUAUAGCACGGUUUUUACCGGAGCAACCGCUCCCCUUCCGCUAGCCAAGAUGGCGACCAUUGAGGGUGAGAAGUGUCCAGCGUUCCACACUCAACUUUUUGACCGUUAUAUGUACAUCAUCCAGGUACUUGUAGUGCGCUUUAUUUUGCCAUAAUUAUCGGUGUGAAUGCACUUAUGCACUCAAAAUAGUAAGUGUAUGUCAUAGUUAGCCACUAUGCCCCCUGAUCCUUUUGUCCUCUUCUGUAUCUGCCUUCCCCUGUGUUUCCUGGCGGUCCCCUGUCCGUCUUGUUUGUGUGUGUGUGUGUGUCUGGGUUCUGGGCUGGUUUCCAGAUCUCCCGGCUGCUAUUGAUUACCGGCACACCUGAUCAUCAUCAUCAUCAUCAACCACCACAGUUAUCUACCGGGCUCAUCCACACUUCUAGCGCCAGAUCGUCUUCGUACCCAACCUCUGUGCUGCCGGUGAUCACUUCCUUGUGCCACGGCCAUCGGACUCUAGUCAGCGUGUCUUCACCCGAUCAGCCCAGCCUUCAACCACGCCAGCCAGUCCAGAACCCGCUUCCCUGGUCUCCGCUCAACGCACCACCCUCCAGCCUCCGUCCAGUCCGGUCGAACUCUCCGUACUACAACGCACUUCGCCAGACACGCCGCGAUCUCCUGAUCUAUCCACACAAUAAACCUGUUCAGACCUUGA